Molecule: ribosomal RNA, 600 nt
Filed under: uncultured bacterium
Lineage: Bacteria
Description: bacterial SSU rRNA
Rfam family: Bacterial small subunit ribosomal RNA
Source: RNAcentral
CUCAAAGGAAUUGACGGGGGCCCGCACAAGCGGUGGAGCAUGUGGUUUAAUUCGAAGCAACGCGAAGAACCUUACCAGGUCUUGACAUACUCGUGCUAUUCCUAGAGAUAGGAAGUUCCUUCGGGACACGGGAUACAGGUGGUGCAUGGUUGUCGUCAGCUCGUGUCGUGAGAUGUUGGGUUAAGUCCCGCAACGAGCGCAACCCUUAUUGUUAGUUGCCAUCAUUAAGUUGGGCACUCUAGCGAGACUGCCGGUAAUAAACCGGAGGAAGGUGGGGAUGACGUCAAAUCAUCAUGCCCCUUAUGACCUGGGCUACACACGUGCUACAAUGGUUGGUACAACGAGUCGCAAGACAGUGAUGUCAAGCUAAUCUCUUAAAGCCAAUCUCAGUUCGGAUUGUAGGCUGCAACUCGCCUACAUGAAGUCGGAAUCGCUAGUAAUCGCGGAUCAGCACGCCGCGGUGAAUACGUUCCCGGGCCUUGUACACACCGCCCGUCACACCACGAGAGUUUGUAAUACCCAAAGCCGGUGAGCUAACCUUUUAGGAGGCAGCCGUCUAAGGUAGGAUAGAUGAUUGGGGUGAAGUCGUAACAAGGUAGC